Carassius carassius (crucian carp) is the source of this 414-nucleotide long non-coding RNA. RefSeq lists it as uncharacterized. NCBI's taxonomy places the organism in Eukaryota, Metazoa, Chordata, Actinopteri, Cypriniformes, Cyprinidae. The record is from RefSeq and is a predicted model, not a curated record. The transcript is spliced from 3 exons.
ACCGCCUGUAGGGGUGCUCCACGACUGAACCAAACAGGAUUCAUCCAAGGCUCCAGGGCUGCUAGGCAGGCUUCAUCAAGAUUCAGAAUGCGGAUUCCCAUCUGUCUCAGAAGGGAAAGCACCUCGUGUAUGCACUUCGUGAAAGUGCGGGGAGCUAGAGACAGCCCGAAGGGAAGGACUGUAUAUUGGUAAGCCACACCCUCGAACACAAAUCUCAAGAAUCAUCUGUGAUGGGAGGCUAUCUGGAUGUGAAAAUAAGCGUCUUUCAGGUCCAGCGAGAAGAACCAGCGAACUGCAGUGAGUAGCCGUGUUUUAUUAUCCCCAACACCCACUUGGACACUCCGGGGAUGGCCUGCCAGGCCUCGGCCCAUGUGACAAGAGGCUGGAUAGCGUCGAGUGGCAGGCCGCUGGUUA